UUUCAUCUCCUUAUUUAAGGAACGAGUGUGAAAUCUCUGUAGAACUUCUGAUACAACUUCGAUUUGGUGAACUCUGGGAAAUACAUAAGCAGUCUUUCCCAGGGUAUCCUGUUACUCUGAUCAGCCAGAAGAGGACUGGCCAUUUCAUGAGUAAAAGUGGGUUACAAGACUUGAAUCCCAGAUUUGGUCCUAGCUGGCAGAGAGAGAGUCAGGCACCUCAUGGUCCGACAGCUUCAUGUACAUAAAGAGUUGAUGUUUGAUGUGA
Molecule: long non-coding RNA, 265 nt
Organism: Pseudopipra pipra
Lineage: Eukaryota; Metazoa; Chordata; Aves; Passeriformes; Pipridae
Exons: 2
Source: RefSeq, a predicted model, not a curated record